Molecule: long non-coding RNA, 1359 nt
Organism: Pristis pectinata (smalltooth sawfish)
Lineage: Eukaryota; Metazoa; Chordata; Chondrichthyes; Rhinopristiformes; Pristidae
Exons: 3
Source: RefSeq, a predicted model, not a curated record
CACAAAUUGUGUUUAUAACUACUCUACAGAACCCGACACCUGGAAACUGGAGCUGUUUGCGUCUAUUAACCUCCCCUGUCUCCUUCCAGACAAGGACGGGCCUGAUGACCCUUUUGCAAUCCUCCUGAAGUGAUUGAAGGAACAGCAGGAACAGAAGGUGGCACAGACAAAGACAGGAAAGGAAAGUGAAGAGAAAAACAACAGCAUAAAAAUGACAUAGAUGAAUACGCAAAAUAUUUCUCUUCUGAAUACAGUGCAUAGCUGCAAGGAUGUGUGGUGGAUCACAAGGGAUUGAAGAGGCAGGAUAAUGAAGUCCAUUUGAGGAGCAACAUUGUGCAUGUUUAAUCAAUAAUACACGGACUAAACCUUUGGAGUCUGUGCGUCACAAAGCCAGUGAUACUGGAUAGAGUCUCAAUAAUCCCUGAGAGAGCUCUGCACUCAGUAACGUGUUGUGAUCCUGAUUUACUGAACCCUUCAGUCCCUUUGCAUAUUGAAAUUUGGAGCUACAAUAACAAUAGUCUGAACUUGUAAAUGAGCAGUCCGAGCCUCCUCUGCAGUGCCCAGAAAAUGGGUGUCUUUUAUUUGAUCUUCAGUGCAAGUGUGACAUCAGCCAUCAGUGACUGCCUCACAGUUGGAUUCACAAAUAUGCGAACAGAGUUGGCCACCACUUCCAUGGUGGAAGGAAUGAGCUGUAGGCUCCUCAUGAAGCCCAAUGCCAAGUCCCUGCUGCUUUCAUCCAUGUUUUUUGACAAUGCAUUAAGAUUGUCUGACAGGCCUGCCGAUCUGUCAUUAUGCAUGCUACCAUCAAACUUCUCAGCUGAACCCUCCGCCGUGAAAAUCAAGUGAAACCUCACCCUCCAACGAGCUGACACCCAUUCCCUCUACUCUGACUACAGACCACUUGCUGUCAGUGAGUCACCACAUGCAGAACUCACCUCCAUGUUAUCCUUUAAGUUAUGCACAGCAUCAGUGUCUGAACUAAUUGUUGCAACUGUGAAGUGGAUGACUAUGUGUCCUUAUCUUCACCCUCUUUUUGCCCUUCCACCAUUGUCUGGCUCGGUUGUUCUUGGCUGAAAAAGGAAAGACACUCAUGUGAGACUGUGGCAAGUGAAAGGCAGACAUAAGUUAUCCAAGUUUACAUAUCUUCAGCAAUGGACCACUACGGACCACCCUUUGCACUACCGUGGACUUGUUUCUGAUUGUGUUUUUGCACUGAUGUCUUGUUUUGCCCAAUCUUUUUCUUCACUGCCUUGUAUAAUUUGUGUACAAUUUAUGUAUAAUUUAUUUUGUGUGUUGUCUGCAUCUAAGUCCCUGUGAUGCUGCUGUAAGCAAGUUUUUCAUUGUACCUGCACCUUACUG